This 253-nucleotide ribosomal RNA is filed under the name uncultured bacterium. Its description in RNAcentral is "partial 16S ribosomal RNA". It matches the Rfam family "Bacterial small subunit ribosomal RNA", at positions 524 to 776 of the family's 1533-position model. The record is from RNAcentral.
GACGUAGGAUGCAAGCGUUGUCCGGAUUUAUUGGGCGUAAAGAGUUCGUAGGCGGUUUGUUAAGUCUGGUGUUAAAGAUCGGGGCUCAACCUCGGGACUGCAUUGGAUACUGGCAGACUGGAGUAUGGUAGAGGUAAGUGGAAUUUCUGGUGUAGCGGUGAAAUGCGUAGAUAUCAGGAAGAACACCGGUGGCGUAGGCGACUUACUGGGCCAUAACUGACGCUGAGGAACGAAAGCCAGGGGAGCAAAUGGG